AAGCUCGGCCCCGGCGAAACGGAAUCGUACUGGAGCCGUAAAGGGUAUUACGCCCUCAACUGCAUGGUCGUGUGCGACGCGAAGCUGUAUAUCCUGGCAAUUGACCCACGGUUUCCGGGAUCGUGCCACGAUUCUUUCGUCUGGAGCUAUUCUGCAUUUCGCCGCCGCCUCACUCGUGGCCUGUUACUUCAUGGAGAAGUGUUGCUUGGGGACUCUGGGUACCCGCUAGAGCCAUGGAUCAUGACUCCUGUGCCUGGUCACCCAAAUCGCCUCACGGCAGAGGGGCGCUAUAAUGAGG
Molecule: non-coding RNA, 298 nt
Organism: Dermacentor andersoni
Lineage: Eukaryota; Metazoa; Arthropoda; Arachnida; Ixodida; Ixodidae
Source: RefSeq, a predicted model, not a curated record